UGCCGGCAGGGUGCUUGGUGCUUGGUGCUAACACUGUUAUUCCCUCAGUCCUGAACCAGGUGAGGGAACAGGUGGUGGCCAAGGGCAGGGGAUGGAGGGGGUGGGUGGAGGUGGAGACAGACAGGCAGACACACACACACAGAGGGAGGUGGACAGAUGCUGUUGGGGAGGCACAGACACUAAGGGUGUCUUUUUUUUUUUUUUUUUUACUGUGACACCCUUUUCAAAUUUUAGUAAUUGUGGCACUGAGAAUGUCUUACCCUGACAUUUCUCUUUGGAUGUGACAACUCUUACAGUGGAGAAUUUAUUUAAAUAUUCAAAUGGAUUUUAAAGGAUUCCUGGAGGAAGCUAUGGCUCUUAGUAUUAUUAAUCUGACUCUGCUGAAGUCAGUUCGCUUCUGGACCAGGAACUCAAAACCCUCCCUCUCUGUGGACAGAGAGAACUGAGGGGGGGGGGGGGAACCAGCCAUUGCUGCCAGAGCCAUGAUUCCUAUCACGAUUGUCAUCUCUCUGAGGGGACACAUCCGGAGGCAGACGACUCAAGGUUGGAUGUUUGAACGCUGAGAUCCCAAGUAUUUACUCCUGCCCCUAACAUUUUCCGGGCCCCAAUCUUCUGUGCUCUGUGGUCCUAAAUGCUGGGCUUUCACUCGAGUGCUCGCCAUCUGUUCAAACAAACCCAAAGCCGCUGUUCUUUCUUCUCUCCCGGGUAUUGGACCCAGCGGACAUCUCAUUUUGUGUGGGCUCACAAGACACGCCUCAGUGAGAUACGGAAGAGGCAGGCAUCAGAGAACUUCCUGGGAGUGUCUGGGUGACUCAGUCGGUUAAGUGUUCGACUUCCACUCAGGUCAUGAUCUCACGGUUUGUGAGUUUGAGCCCCGCUCUGUGCUGACAGCUCAGAGCCUGGAGCCUGCUUUGGAUUCUGUGCUCCCUCUCUCUCUGCCCCUCCCCUGCUCACGAUCUCUCUCUCUCUCUCUCUCUCUCUCAAAAAUAAACAUUAAAAAUUAAAAACACACAAAAAAAGAGCUUCCUGAUUCCUUUCCUCAUUUGUACGUGUUGCAUUGCUUUCCUCCUGCUUCAGAAAUAAGCCAAAGCCAGAUGCCUGGUGGCUCAGUCGGUUGAGCGUCCGACUAUUGAUUUCAGCUCAGGUCAUGAUCUCACGGUUCAUGACAUCGAACCCGGUGUCAGGCUCCACGUUGAUCGUGGAGACUGCUCAUGCUCUCUCUCUCUCAAAGAGAAAAAACAAACAAACGAAAGUAAAAGUAACUAUGAACCAUGUCUCCGCUGUCACGCAACACCCGACAGACUCUGCGUUCCGGCUCGAGCAGUGUCUCACAUGAACGCACACGGCAUUUGCCUCACUCACUGCCACAAACAUCUGGAUGCUCCUUUCUCAACCACAGAGGGCAAUCUCGACUGGCCUGUCAUACAGCUCGUUUCUCAAAACUCCAGAGCAGACGUCUUGUUCCUUAGCUUCUCUGGUGCCCCUUCCCUGGGAAGGAGAGGGUGGGUUCCAAUCUCGCUUGCCCUGAUGCUUGUGUGAACUUGGGCAAGUUACCCGUCAUCUCCAAGCCUUGUUUGGACAAGUCAGGUAUCUGCCUCGGUGGGUUAUCCUGAGGAUAAAGGAGAUAAUGUAGGUACAGAGCACUGCCCGCUGCCUGGCAUGUAGUCCGUGCUCAGUAAACAGCAAUGGUAGUGGUGUUUCGACAUGACUGGUUUCACAAGCCUGUCGCCCAAUGUUUGCAUCACAACGUGUCCCUGCUCAAACCAGGAGGUCAGAAUGUUUCACUUCGGUUUGGGAAACAGUGAGGGAGUCGAGGGGGCACUAACAUUUCUUAAUCCUUAUCAUCUCCACGGUGGAAAAUAUCAAUCGUUAUCAUCUCAUUUUAGAAAUAAGGACACUGAGCCUCGUUCUUGGCGAUAGUCGCUCAGGUUGGCCUGCAUGGGAAACCGGUGCCCCUCCCACCUAAAAGUGCUCAAGAUCUCAGGGCACCUGGGUGGCUCAGGCAGGUAAGUGUCCAACUCUUGAUUUCGGCUCAAGUCAUGAUCUCACAGUUCGUGAGUUCGAGCCCAGUGUCAGUCUCUGCACUGACAGCUCAGAGCCUGCUUGGAAUUCUCUCUCCCUCUGUCUGUCCCUCCCCUGCUCACUCUCUCUAAAUAAAUAAACAUUAGGGGAAAAAAAGUUACAGCAAAAAAAAAAAAAAAGCUAAAGAUCCCUGUAGAGCAAAAGCUCUCCAGUCACCUGUUGGCGGGGGAGGCAGACUCUCACCUGCCUGGAGGGAGAACAGAGUCAACUCUCAACAACGUCUAACUGGAAUUUGCUGAAGUCGAAGAGAAACACGCAUUUCCCCAAGUCGGCAGAGGUCACAACUCACAUUCCAAAUAUGACAGGGAUGAUGUUACACGGCGGGUCUGGGGGGGGGUGGGGGGUGUCUCGGGACAGAGGGUGGUAAAGAGCUCUGCAAGUUGGCCUGAAGGAAAUGGAGAAGCAUUGGGAGUCUUGCUCCAAAGAAUAUUCAACAAAGAGUAGCCUGUCUCCAUCCUCCACACCCAAAAUGCAUGGUGCAUGUGUGUGUAUAUGUGUGUCCAUGUGUUUGAGCACUUGCUGGAGACCCGCCACCUUCCCUAAAUGUGUUCGGGUUAAUUUCACUUGCUCUGAGUUGUCCCUCAUCCUAAAGUCAGUCUACACUUAGGUGUCUGGCUGGAAGCAUCUUUCCCUGCACUGCAGUCGGGUUCCCUUGUGCUGUUGUCCAUCACGUGUAUGCCACGACAUGACCAUCUUCUGCUUGACUCUUCGAUGAGAUCCCAAGACCGUGUUCCGCAUUUUUUCACUUCUCUCCAUUCCCCCCAACAUUUAACCCAGAAAUAUGCUGGAAAUGGAUAGAUGCUUAUGGAGUGAUAAAAAAAUAAGCAAGGUCACAAAUCCGAAGAAAGACUUUAGAUCUGGGUUUUUGUUUUUUUUUUCCUAGAGUUCUAUCUGAACAGAAAUCACAUGUUAAAUAAAUGACUAAACUUUG
Molecule: long non-coding RNA, 3013 nt
Organism: Acinonyx jubatus (cheetah)
Lineage: Eukaryota; Metazoa; Chordata; Mammalia; Carnivora; Felidae
Exons: 2
Source: RefSeq, a predicted model, not a curated record